Molecule: ribosomal RNA, 253 nt
Filed under: uncultured bacterium
Lineage: Bacteria
Description: partial 16S ribosomal RNA
Rfam family: Bacterial small subunit ribosomal RNA
Source: RNAcentral
UACAGAGGGUGCAAGCGUUGAUCGGAAUUACUGGGCGUAAAGGGCGCGUAGGUGGUUAAUUAAGUCAGAUGUGAAAUCCCCGGGCUUAACCUGGGAAUUGCAUUUGAAACUGAUUGGCUAGAGUACGGGAGAGGGAAGUGGAAUUUCCGGUGUAGCGGUGAAAUGCGUAGAUAUCGGAAGGAACACCAGUGGCGAAGGCGACUUCCUGGCCCGUUACUGACACUGAGGAGCGAAAGCGUGGGGAGCGAACAGG